AAUAGUGUUCAUUCUAUACUUGCACAUUGCAGAAAUCUUGCCGAAAACAACUUGAGCGGGAGUCUUCCUUGUUCCAUUUCAAGCAUGGUUUCUCUUAGCUACCUGUGAGUGGCUUGUCUUGAAUGCAUUGAAAUUUUGUCAAAAGUCACAAGUUCCAUGCGUGCUUCAACUAUCAAACAAUGCUUAUGUGUAAGCAAGGAUGUCCACAGCGCACACCUUUUAAAGCCCUAUCAACUGCCACAAAAAAUGGUGACUUUCUUCCGUAUCCAAUUUCCUAUCCUACCUAGUUUCUUCAAGAAAUGGGAAAAUCCAAGAAGACCCAGCAUAAAGAUCAAGACUUGACGCUGAGAAGAUCUGCUAGAUUGGCAGACAAGUUCAAGAAACUACCAGAAGAGUUAAUCCUUAAAAUCCUGUCCAAAAUCCGGCAAGACCCCAAAACUCUCAUACGCUGUUCCUCUGUUUCCAAGAACUUGCAUUCUCUCAUCUCCAAAUUUGACAGUAUCUCCCUCAGAUUAUCGUAUCCUGAUGAGGACUAUGCUUCUCUUCCAUGCUUCCAUUCACAUCACCACAUCCCACAAGCGGUCGUUCCUGGUAUCAUAAGGGUUUUUUCAAAUCUCAAGUUUCUUCAACUUAAUCUCUGUCCGUGCCCUUCUCCGUCUUCUGAAGAUGGAGAAAUGUCCUGGUUGAAGUUCUUGCGUCAUAAUGAUGACGAUGAUUAUAUGAACUGCGAAAUAACGGUUGCUUUCGAAGUUGGGUUCUUGUCUGGGACUCGCACAAGCGGAGAUUUACCUCUGAAAUUGAGGCCCCAGAUUGUGAAUACUGGCGUGGUUGAAAUGAAUCUUCUCAUUGUUAAUACGAUAUUGCAGCAUUGCCCGAAAACGCUGAGGAGCUUGGUGGUUUCGAGUGCGAAGAUGCAGGGGUCUGGAUCAAAAGGGGAGGUUUUUGUUAGACAAGAAGUGAUGGGAAAGUUGGCUGAUGUGGUUUCAAGUUUGAGGGGUUAUGAGAGUUGGGUUAAAUGGCUUAAUGACCCGAGGAAUGUGGCUUAUUGGCUUAAGAAUCCACUUAACGAUGAGCAUCGUUGUCUUAGAGAAAUUAUGUGGGCUGUUCGUCGUGUAGAAUUGCCAUGGCCAUGGGAGGAGCGCAAUGAGCUAGUUGUUAGAGAAGGUGAUGUGAAGGAGUUAUUGAGUGUUUAUGAUUAUAAUGAUGAGCAACAACGAGGAGAUGGAAAUUAACUUCUUGAAGGUGGCAAAGUCAGUGGUAGUUCUUUCAAAGAGUGCAGAUGAUUGAUGAGCUGCUUGAAGUACCAUUGUGGUUCAAGAAGUGAUUACAGAAUCUUCAUCUAGAACCCUACAAGAGCACAGGUGGUUGGUGGACUGUUUUAUGUACUGAUAUGGUCGAUGAACUGAUGCAAAAUUUUGGGGAGAGAAACUUGCUGGCAGAUUUUGUGAGGCACGGGAAAAAUGCUCAGCGUUUUUUUCUGAUUAUUUGUUCUUGAGCUUCCUUUGUUGAUAUUCAUCAACUCCAGAUUUUCAUGUGUUUUAGAUGAUUCCAAUCUACAUUAUGUGGGCGAAAAAUGAGUGAUGAGAGUGAAACAAGAACGAUGUUUUCCACCUCUCAAUUUCGAACACAGUUGAAUACCACUCUUGCAUGUGGUUUUGGUCUCCUGUUGUCAAGUAAGGGUAACGGGUGAUGGGGUGACAGCAACUGUAGUUGUUUUCACUGUACAAUUAUGGCGAUGGAGUUGUGGAUGUUGAUGGCAUCAGUAUACUUGUCAAUUUAAGAAGUAUGGUUACAGCGCAGCACGAUUUCAGUCGUUUUGUUCUGUUCUCAGCAGUUUCACCAAUAUUUGUUGCUCAUCCUUUGCUUCAUCUGUUCAGCCACACCUUGGACGAGAAGUACGUUUUAUUUCUCUGCAGAGUGCAAAUGGCAGAUGAAGAGCUCCAUGGACAAACAAGGCUGAAGGGUUGAUUGCAUAAUCUUUGAUUAUGAAUUCAAUGGUUCAUCACCACCUUAAAGAACAGAAGAGCUCUGUAGACCUUUUUCUGUUGAAUAAUCUUGUGUUUAGGUUUCUCUAACCCGAAGGGUUAGAAGCCUAGAUUAUUGGAUGAUUAAUCUAUCUUAUCUUAUAUAUAUUUUUUCCAUUUAUCA
This is an RNA transcript of Populus trichocarpa (black cottonwood), 2148 nucleotides long. RefSeq lists it as uncharacterized. Lineage: Eukaryota; Viridiplantae; Streptophyta; Magnoliopsida; Malpighiales; Salicaceae. The record is from RefSeq and is a predicted model, not a curated record. The transcript has 5 exons.